RNAcentral lists this ribosomal RNA (253 nucleotides) under uncultured bacterium. RNAcentral's name for it is "partial 16S ribosomal RNA". It matches the Rfam family "Bacterial small subunit ribosomal RNA", at positions 524 to 776 of the family's 1533-position model. The record is from RNAcentral.
UACAGAGGGUGCGAGCGUUAAUCGGAAUUACUGGGCGUAAAGCGUGCGCAGACGGUCAUGUAAGUCGGGUGUGAAAGCCCCGGGCUCAACCUGGGAAUGGCAUUUGAUACUCGAGGGCUUGAGUACGGGAGAGGAGAGUGGAAUUCCCAGUGUAGAGGUGAAAUUCGUAGAUAUUGGGAAGAACACCGGUGGCGAAGGCGGCUCUCUGGACCGUAACUGACGCUGAGGCGCGAAAGCGUGGGGAGCAAACAGG